Non-coding RNA from Gossypium hirsutum (cotton), 107 nucleotides. Lineage: Eukaryota; Viridiplantae; Streptophyta; Magnoliopsida; Malvales; Malvaceae. The record is from Rfam.
AUUCCAUGAUGAGGGCAUCUUCGUUAUACUUCUUUAAACCUUUCCCAUGCCUCAUACAAGGACUCAUCAUCCAUUUGUUGGAAAUUAAAGAUCUCAUUCCUCAACUU